Molecule: non-coding RNA, 324 nt
Organism: Nematostella vectensis (starlet sea anemone)
Lineage: Eukaryota; Metazoa; Cnidaria; Anthozoa; Actiniaria; Edwardsiidae
Source: Rfam
GGACACAGCGAAGACUUGCUUUCGGAGCUACAUGACUGGACGUCGCGAAUUGUUGUGGCAUGCUAAACGUUUAGUAUGAAUCAGCAGUUCCUUCGUUCCAACAACAUUACGUUGGCUCUGGGAAAAGUCCCCGGACAUAAGGCAGAGAGUGCCAGUCGUGAAGACUCCAGUCUCCGCGGAUUUUCAAUCUGGCGAAGAAGCAGCGGCCGAGCCACGAGGACCCGAGGAGAUGUUUCGUCGCAUCAAAGUCAUGCAAGUGGAUUCCUCUAGAGUUCCCUGGACUCUGUGGGAUUUCUACACGAUGGGGCUUACUCUCGCUGUGUC